CCCUGGAUGGCUCAGAUGGUAAAGAAUCUGCCUGCAAUGCAGAAGGCCUGGGUUCGAUCCCUGGGUUGGGAA
This 72-nucleotide transfer RNA is filed under the name Bos taurus (domestic cattle). It matches the Rfam family "tRNA". From Rfam's summary of the family: Transfer RNA (tRNA) molecules are approximately 80 nucleotides in length. Their secondary structure includes four short double-helical elements and three loops (D, anti-codon, and T loops). Further hydrogen bonds mediate the characteristic L-shaped molecular structure. tRNAs have two regions of fundamental functional importance: the anti-codon, which is responsible for specific mRNA codon recognition, and the 3' end, to which the tRNAs corresponding amino acid is attached (by aminoacyl-tRNA synthetases). tRNAs cope with the degeneracy of the genetic code in two manners: having more than one tRNA (with a specific anti-codon) for a particular amino acid; and 'wobble' base-pairing, i.e. permitting non-standard base-pairing at the 3rd anti-codon position. The record is from Rfam by way of RNAcentral. Lineage: Eukaryota; Metazoa; Chordata; Mammalia; Artiodactyla; Bovidae. RNAcentral also lists the same sequence under 5 other names.